ACUCAAAAACAUUCUUUCCCCUGAACACACCCGGUCUCGUCUGAUCUGGGAAGCUAAGCAGGGUCGGGUCUGGGUGGUACUUGCAUGGGAGACCACCUGGGAAUACCGGGUGCUUAAAACA
Non-coding RNA from Myotis lucifugus (little brown bat), 121 nucleotides. NCBI's taxonomy places the organism in Eukaryota, Metazoa, Chordata, Mammalia, Chiroptera, Vespertilionidae. The record is from Rfam.